RNAcentral lists this ribosomal RNA (498 nucleotides) under uncultured Sphingobacteriales bacterium. RNAcentral's name for it is "bacterial SSU rRNA". It matches the Rfam family "Bacterial small subunit ribosomal RNA", at positions 903 to 1382 of the family's 1533-position model. Lineage: Bacteria; Pseudomonadati; Bacteroidota; Sphingobacteriia; Sphingobacteriales. The record is from RNAcentral.
CGUCCAGCCCGCUCAGAAACUUAAAUGAAUUGACGGGGCCCGCACAAGCGGAGGAGCAUGUGGUUAAUUCGAUGAUACGCGAGGAACCUUACCUGGGCUCGAACGUAAGAUGACUGUAGGUGAAAGCUUACAUCUCUUCGGAGCAUUUUACGAGGUGCUGCAUGGUUGUCGUCAGCUCGUGCCGUGAGGUGUCGGGUUAAGUCCCAUAACGAGCGCAACCCUACCUUUAGUUGCCAUCAGGUAAUGCUGGGGACUCUAAAGGAACUGCCUACGCAAGUAGUGAGGAAGGCGGGGAUGACGUCAAAUCAGCACGGCCCUUACGUCCAGGGCUACACACGUGCUACAAUGGCCGAUACAGAGGGCAGCUACCUGGUGACAGGAUGCAAAUCUCCAAAGUCGGUCUCAGUUCGGAUCGGAGUCUGCAACCCGACUCCGUGAAGUUGGAUUCGCUAGUAAUCGCGCAUCAGCCAUGGCGCGGUGAAUACGUUCCCGGGCCUU